UACGAAGGGGGCUAGCGUUGCUCGGAAUGACUGGGCGUAAAGGGCGCGUAGGCGGAUGGUACAGUCAGAUGUGAAAUUCCUGGGCUCAACCUGGGGGCUGCAUUUGAUACGUAUUGUCUUGAGUUCGGAAGAGGGUCGUGGAAUUCCCAGUGUAGAGGUGAAAUUCGUAGAUAUUGGGAAGAACACCGGUGGCGAAGGCGGCGACCUGGUCCGAUACUGACGCUGAGGCGCGAAAGCGUGGGGAGCAAACAGG
This 253-nucleotide ribosomal RNA is filed under the name uncultured bacterium. RNAcentral's name for it is "partial 16S ribosomal RNA". It matches the Rfam family "Bacterial small subunit ribosomal RNA", at positions 524 to 776 of the family's 1533-position model. The record is from RNAcentral.